ACGGAAGGCAGCAGUGGGGAAUAUUGCACAAUGGGCGAAAGCCUGAUGCAGCGACGCCGCGUGAGUGAAGAAGUAUCUCGGUAUGUAAAGCUCUAUCAGCAGGGAAGAAAAUGACGGUACCUGACUAAGAAGCCCCGGCUAACUACGUGCCAGCAGCCGCGGUAAUACGUAGGGGGCAAGCGUUAUCCGGAUUUACUGGGUGUAAAGGGAGCGUAGACGGUUUGGCAAGUCUGAAGUGAAAUGCGGGGGCUCAACUCCUGAACUGCUUUGGAAACUGUCGAACUAGAGUGCAGGAGAGGUAAGUGGAAUUCCUAGUGUAGCGGUGAAAUGCGUAGAUAUUAGGAGGAACACCAGUGGCGAAGGCGGCUUACUGGACUGUAACUGACGUUGGGGCUCGAAAGCGUGGGGAGCAAACAGGAUUAGAUACCCUGGUA
RNAcentral lists this ribosomal RNA (434 nucleotides) under uncultured Lachnospiraceae bacterium. Its description in RNAcentral is "bacterial SSU rRNA". It matches the Rfam family "Bacterial small subunit ribosomal RNA", at positions 341 to 792 of the family's 1533-position model. Lineage: Bacteria; Bacillati; Bacillota; Clostridia; Lachnospirales; Lachnospiraceae. The record is from RNAcentral.